CUCAGAAAACUUGCGAAGUUUAGGAUGGAGCUGAAGAGACUGGGUUCCGUCCUAAGCCUUUGGACAGGGCCAUCAGCUUUUUCCCUGCCUUCGGACUUGAAUUAAACAUCAUCUCUUCCUUGGCGUCAAGCCUGCUGCCAUCAGACUGGAACUAAACCAUCAGCUCUCAUGGGACUCCAUCUUGCUGACUUACCCUGCAGAUCUUGGGAUUUAACCGCCUCCAUAAUCACGAAUCCUCCCUCCAGGUCACUGGGAGCUUCAAUUCCUUAGAAGAAAGAAAGAGAUGACUCCUGCUUCAUAGUCCAGGAAAAUUCCCACACACCGUGGAGGCUCUUUAAGGCGGAAGGAGGUCUGCGGGGAUGUGAGAGCUUCAUACUCAUUCCCACGACUCUGUCGCAGAAGCCAGUGUCCAUUGGCAGCAGCAACUAUCACCAUACUAUGAAGUAGCACAAGCCCUUCAUCAGAUACAGUCGCCCAGUCUUGGACCAUCCAGCCCCAAGAACCAUGAGCUAAAUAAACCUCUUUCCUUGAUAAAUUACCCAGUCUCAGGUAUUCUGUUAUAGCA
Molecule: long non-coding RNA, 565 nt
Organism: Gorilla gorilla gorilla (western lowland gorilla)
Lineage: Eukaryota; Metazoa; Chordata; Mammalia; Primates; Hominidae
Exons: 5
Source: RefSeq, a predicted model, not a curated record